GGCCAAGUUAUUAAGGGCGCACGGUGGAUGCCUUGGCACCAGGAACCGAUGAAGGACGUGGGAGGCCGCGAUAGGCCCCGGGGAGUUGUCAACCGAGCUGUGAUCCGGGGGUGUCCGAAUGGGGAAACCCGGCAGUCGUCAUGGGCUGUCACCUGCUGCUGAAUAUAUAGGCAGUGUGGAGGGAACGCGGGGAAGUGAAACAUCUCAGUACCCGCAGGAAGAGAAAACAACCGUGAUUCCGGGAGUAGUGGCGAGCGAAACCGGAUGAGGCCAAACCGUAUGCGUGUGAUACCCGGCAGGGGUUGCGUAUGCGGGGUUGUGGGAGUGAGCUUUCACGGUCUGCCGGCUGUGAGGCGAGUUAGAAACCAUGCAGGUAGGCGAAGGGCAUGCGAAAGGCCCGGCGUAGAGGGUAAGACCCCCGUAGCUGAAAUCUGUGUGGCUUGCUUGCUCAUUUCCCAAGUAGCACAGGGCCCGAGAAAUCCUGUGUGAAUCUGGCGGGACCACCCGUUAAGCCUAAAUAUUCCCUGGUGACCGAUAGCGGAUUAGUACCGUGAGGGAAUGGUGAAAAGUACCGCGGGAGCGGAGUGAAAUAGUACCUGAAACCGUGUGCCUACAAGCCGUGGGAGCGUCGCAUGCAGGGCUUGCCCUGUGUGUCGUGACUGCGUGCCUUUUGAAGAAUGAGCCUGCGAGUUUGCGGUGUGUUGCGAGGUUAACCCGUGUGGGGGAGCCGUAGCGAAAGCGAGUCCGAAGAGGGCGUUUUAGUAGCAUGCUCAAGACCCGAAGCGGAGUGAUCUAGCCAUGGGCAGGUUGAAGCGCGGGUAAGACCGUGUGGAGGACCGAACCCACCAGGGUUGAAAACCUGGGGGAUGACCUGUGGUUAGGGGUGAAAGGCCAAUCAAACUCCGUGAUAGCUGGUUCUCCCCGAAAUGCAUUUAGGUGCAGCGUCGUGUGUUUCUUGCCGGAGGUAGAGCACUGGAUAGGCGAUGGGCCUUACCGGGUUACUGACCUUAGCCAAACUCCGAAUGCCGGUAAGUGAGAGCGCGGCAGUGAGACUGUGGGGGAUAAGCUCCAUGGUCGAGAGGGAAACAGCCCAGAGCAUCGACUAAGGCCCCUAAGCGUGCGCUAAGUGGGAAAGGAUGUGGAGUCGCACAGACAACCAGGAGGUUGGCUUAGAAGCAGCCACCCUUGAAAGAGUGCGUAAUAGCUCACUGGUCAAGUGAUUCCGCGCCGACAAUGUAGCGGGGCUCAAGCGUACCGCCGAAGUCGUGUCACUGCAGCA
Molecule: ribosomal RNA, 1279 nt
Filed under: Actinacidiphila acididurans
Lineage: Bacteria; Bacillati; Actinomycetota; Actinomycetes; Kitasatosporales; Streptomycetaceae
Description: Streptomyces acididurans partial 23S ribosomal RNA
Rfam family: Bacterial large subunit ribosomal RNA
Source: RNAcentral